GAUCGCAUUGUCAUCAACUGCUCAUCAAAUAUUUGUCCUCUCUAGUAUUUUAUUUUAGAAUUAAUUAAGUUUCUGUACUGCCUAAAAUUAAUGUCCACAGGAUCUCUCUCUCUCUCUCUCUCUCUCUCUCUCUCUCUCUCUCUCUCUCUCUCUCUCUCAUACACACGCACAGCUGCAAAGUAGACACGUGUUGCCAAGUCGCAUUAUUUACCACACACCUCGGUACCCCCACACAAACUCCCUUGCAAUACAGCUAAAGGAGGGAUAGAGCACACUAGCAUAAGGUCAUUCCUCCUAUCUUUGCCCCUGAACUAAUCUCAGAACAAUGGGAUCAAGUGAAAAAGGAGGAUCAGAGAGUAUUUGUAUUUUGAGCUCUUAGUUGGUCCCCGCGCUCGUCACCAUGCCAGCUCUCAUCAUAAUCCUAACCUCUUAACUUCGCUAUUGUGGUGAGCUAAGAGACAUUCCUGGGGUACAAAGGAUACAGAGGAGACUGGAGACUGUUCACGCAGACUCACUAGUCCUUAAGUCUUGCGUAAUGCCCUGGGGAAGAAUGAUGCUGAAAGGACAACAAGAUGAGGAAGGGUGAAGAAAAAAAUUAGUCUCUUGGCAUCACGGGAACAGCUGAUGGGCGGUAGCAAGUUAGUCACAAAGUUGUAUUAUCCUGCAGUGUCUGUCUGGAUGCGGUGGUGUGGGGUGAUGUGUGACGUUGGGUGAUGCUUACGAAUCAAAAAGAGAGAAAAGCGAGGCAAGACUAGACCAGAACAGACUAGACCAAACCGGACACGUGAAAGAAAAUACAAAACCCCACAUGAAGUGACACAACAACACACACACACAUAAAAAAAAUAAAGGAUGAUAACGACAACAAUAAAAUGACCCUGAUUCCAUUAUUCUAGUGUCACGUAGCUAAGUAUUGUGACGCUAUUAUUUUGUUGAGAAGGAAGCAACAAAAGGAGAUUCUUCAGUUCACUCAAAUAUUUGGUGUCUGGUGAUCUCUCUCUCUCUCUCUCUCUCUCUCUCUCUCUCUCUCUCUCUCUCUCUCUCUCUCU
This is a long non-coding RNA of Scylla paramamosain (green mud crab), 1049 nucleotides long. RefSeq lists it as uncharacterized. Lineage: Eukaryota; Metazoa; Arthropoda; Malacostraca; Decapoda; Portunidae. The record is from RefSeq and is a predicted model, not a curated record. The transcript is spliced from 2 exons.